Non-coding RNA from Oryza glaberrima (African rice), 205 nucleotides. The record is from Rfam. NCBI's taxonomy places the organism in Eukaryota, Viridiplantae, Streptophyta, Magnoliopsida, Poales, Poaceae.
AAAGAGUAUAGUUUUGUAUUGUUUAUGUCCAAUGUUUGAGCAUCUGUCUUAAUAGAUAAAAAUUUACGAUUAGUAUUUUUAUUGUUAUUAGAUGAUAAAAUAUCAAUAGUACUUUAUGUGUAACUAAUUUUUCUUAUUUUUUAUAAAUUUUUAAAUAAGACGGAUGAUCAAAUGUUGGACAAGAAAAUACAUAACCGCACUUAAA